UACGAAGGGGGCUAGCGUUGCUCGGAAUCACUGGGCGUAAAGGGUGCGUAGGCGGGUCUUUAAGUCAGGGGGGAAAUCCUGGAGCUCAACUCCAGAACUGCCUUUGAUACUGAAGAUCUUGAGUUCGGGAGAGGUGAGUGGAACUGCGAGUGUAGAGGUGAAAUUCGUAGAUAUUCGCAAGAACACCAGUGGCGAAGACGGCUCACUGGCCCGAUACUGACGCUGAGGCACGAAAGCGUGGGGAGCAAACAGG
Molecule: ribosomal RNA, 253 nt
Filed under: uncultured bacterium
Lineage: Bacteria
Description: partial 16S ribosomal RNA
Rfam family: Bacterial small subunit ribosomal RNA
Source: RNAcentral